GAUGAACGCUGGCGGCGUGCCUAAUACAUGCAAGUCGAACGAACAGACGAGGCGCUUGCUCCUUCGACGUUAGCGGCGGACGGGUGAGUAACACGUAAAUAACCUACCUAUAAGACUGGGAUAACUUCGGGACACCGGAGCUAGUACCGGAUAAUAUUUCGAUCCUCAUUGUUCGAUAGUAAAAGAUGGCUUUGCUAUCACUUAUAGAUGGACCUGCGCCGUAUUAGCUAGUUGGUAAGGUAACGGCUUACCAAGGCAACGAUACGUAACCGACCUGAGAGGGGGACCGGCCACCCUGGAACGGGGAACCGGUCCAGACUCCUACGGGAGGAAGCAGUAGGGAACUUUCGGAAAGGGGGGAAGGCCGGACGGAGAACGGCCGGGUGGGGGAUGAAGGUCUUCGGACCGUAAAACCCUGUGAUUAGGGAAGAAGAAACGUGGAAUGAACUGUGCACGCCUUGACGGUACCUAAUCAGAAAGCCACGGCUAACUACGUG
Molecule: ribosomal RNA, 497 nt
Filed under: uncultured bacterium
Lineage: Bacteria
Description: partial 16S ribosomal RNA
Rfam family: Bacterial small subunit ribosomal RNA
Source: RNAcentral